UACGUAGGGGGCGAGCGUUGUCCGGAAUGACUGGGCGUAAAGGGUGCGUAGGCGGCUUGGCAAGUUAGAAGUGAAAUACCUAGGGCUUAACUCAGGUGCUGCUUUUAAAACUGCUGGGCUGGAGUGCAGGAGAGGUUAAUGGAAUUCCUAGUGUAGCGGUGGAAUGCGUAGAUAUUAGGAAGAACACCAGCGGCGAAGGCGAUUCACUGGACUGUAACUGACACUGAGGCACGAAAGCGUGGGGAGCAAAUAGG
RNAcentral lists this ribosomal RNA (254 nucleotides) under uncultured bacterium. RNAcentral's name for it is "partial 16S ribosomal RNA". It matches the Rfam family "Bacterial small subunit ribosomal RNA", at positions 524 to 776 of the family's 1533-position model. The record is from RNAcentral.